This 420-nucleotide long non-coding RNA is filed under the name Elaeis guineensis (African oil palm). RNAcentral describes it as "long non-coding RNA (EGUI_LNC059026)". The record is from RNAcentral. Lineage: Eukaryota; Viridiplantae; Streptophyta; Magnoliopsida; Arecales; Arecaceae.
GUGGCUCCAUGUGGAUACCAGUAGAGGUCGGACGUGUGCACAAUUACGAUUAGAAUUCAGGAUAUCUGCAAGAUCCGAGGUAUGAAGAUUCGAUCUCUAUUUUAUUUUUCUAACAGUUUAUUUUUCUGUUUCAGAUAUCAGAUCGUGGGUACAUGUUCAUAUCAAGAUCUUUACUAUGGUUUUCAGAUCAGAUCUGAUAUAUGAAUAAAUUAAAUUUAUUUUAAUUUAUUUAUUUUCGCUGGGUAGAUGUCGAGAAAAAAUUUUGAACUAUACGUAUGAAAGUGUAGUAUUUUCUAACAGUGGUAUCAGAGCAUAGAUUUUGAUACGAACAUGAAAUUCUCUCAAAUCUGAUAUCUGGUUUGUAAAAAUCAGAUCUAAAGGUAAAUAAGAUAAUCACAUCAUUCUGAAAUAAGGUUGCUC